UACGGAGGGGGCUAGCGUUGUUCGGAAUUACUGGGCGUAAAGCGCACGUAGGCGGCUUUGUAAGUUAGAGGUGAAAGCCCGGGGCUCAACCCCGGAAUUGCCUUUAAGACUGCAUCGCUUGAACGUCGGAGAGGUGAGUGGAAUUCCGAGUGUAGAGGUGAAAUUCGUAGAUAUUCGGAAGAACACCAGUGGCGAAGGCGACUUACUGGACACAUAUUGACGCUGAGGUGCGAAAGCGUGGGGAGCAAACAGG
This 253-nucleotide ribosomal RNA is filed under the name uncultured bacterium. RNAcentral's name for it is "partial 16S ribosomal RNA". It matches the Rfam family "Bacterial small subunit ribosomal RNA", at positions 524 to 776 of the family's 1533-position model. The record is from RNAcentral.